This 476-nucleotide ribosomal RNA is filed under the name uncultured bacterium. RNAcentral's name for it is "partial 16S ribosomal RNA". It matches the Rfam family "Bacterial small subunit ribosomal RNA", at positions 30 to 507 of the family's 1533-position model. The record is from RNAcentral.
CGACCGCUGGCGGCGUGCUUAACACAUGCAAGUCGAACGGGAUUUAGUAAACGGAAGCCUCGGUGGAAGAUUACUAAUGAGAGUGGCGAACGGGUGAGUAACGCGUGAGCAACCUGCCUAUGACAGUGGGAUAGCCUCGGGAAACCGGGAUUAAUACCGCAUAAAAUCGUAGAAACACAUGUUUCAACGGUCAAAGAUUUAUCGGUCAUAGAUGGGCUCGCGUCUGAUUAGCUAGUUGGUGAGAUAACAGCCCACCAAGGCGACGAUCAGUAGCCGGUCUGAGAGGAUGAACGGCCACAUUGGAACUGAGACACGGUCCAAACUCCUACGGGAGGCAGCAGUGGGGAAUAUUGCACAAUGGGGGAAACCCUGAUGCAGCGACGCCGCGUGAACGAAGAAGGUAUUCGUAUCGUAAAGUUCUGUCCUAUGGGAAGAUAAUGACAGUACCAUAGAAGAAAGCUCCGGCUAAAUACGUG